AACGAACGCUGGCGGCAUGCCUAACACAUGCAAGUCGAACGAGACCUUCGGGUCUAGUGGCGCACGGGUGCGUAACGCGUGGGAACCUGCCCUUAGGUUCGGAAUACCUCCCCGAAAGGGGUGCUAAUACCGGAUAAUGUCUUCGGACCAAAGAUGUAUCGCCUUUGGAUGGGCCCGCGUUGGAUUAGCUAGUUGGUAGGGUAAAAGCCUAGCAAGGCGACGAUCCAUAGCUGGUCUGUGAGGAUGAUCAGCCACACUGGGGCUGAGACACGGCCCAGACUCCUACGGAAGGCAGCAGUGGGGAAUAUUGGACAAUGGGGGAAAGCCUGAUCCAGCAAUGCCGCGUGAGUGAUGAAGGCCUUAGGGUUGUAAAGCUGUUUUACACGGGAUGAUAAUGACAGUACCGGGAGAAUAAGCACCGGCUAACUCCGUG
Molecule: ribosomal RNA, 433 nt
Filed under: uncultured bacterium
Lineage: Bacteria
Description: partial 16S ribosomal RNA
Rfam family: Bacterial small subunit ribosomal RNA
Source: RNAcentral